RNAcentral lists this long non-coding RNA (1342 nucleotides) under Coturnix japonica (Japanese quail). RNAcentral's name for it is "lncRNA (ENSCJPG00005005799.1)". The record is from RNAcentral. Lineage: Eukaryota; Metazoa; Chordata; Aves; Galliformes; Phasianidae.
CAUUAAGUUUUUCUUCAAAAAAUAAUGAUUUAUUAUUAAAAGUGUUAAAUGUAUAUUGUAGACACAGUAUAGCCAUUUGAAAGCACUGAGCCCCAUAGAGACACACUGAGCCCCAUAGAGACCCACUGAGCCCCAUAGAGACCCCAUGCAGACCCCAUAGAGCCCCGCAGUGAGGCUAUAGGGGAACGCGGCGCCAUUUUGGGGCCAAAUCCGGGUUUUUUGAGGUUGUUUUAGUGGUUGGGUUGAUGGGUUAUGGGGCAGUUUAUGGGGGGGCAGGAAGGAACGUUUUGGGGGCAAAAAGAGGCGUCAAAUAUCGGCCCCGUUGGGUCUUUUGUUCUGUUUUGCUCCCCCAAGCCCCCCCGGAGCCCCCAGUUCACGCACAAAGCUCCUCACUCCCGUUCGGGCUCUACGUGCUACGUUCGUGUUCAUUCCCGCGGCAGCAAAACACAGACGCAGUUCCGCGCUUUGGCCACGCGGUGGCAGCAGAGGCCACGCAAUGAUCCCAGCCGGGCUGUGCCCGCCACCACCUCUCCGCCUGCUGAUUGGCUACGACCCAAUAGCGUCCCGCCCGGCCGUCCAAUGAGCUCGUCAGAAAGAACUCCCUUACUUCCGCUUUCCUCCCCUUCUUCCCCGUCCCUCUCUACCAUUGGCCAGGCGCCGGCGGAGCCCCGCCUCCUCGCCUCCCCUCCCGCUCUGAUUGGCCCAGCGGCGCUAUCCCCGCCCCUUCCGCCACGCUUGUUUCCGCUCCUCCUACACGGGGCGCUCAGUUUCGCCCCCGGCUGCGAGUCCGGCGAUGGCGGCGGAUCCGGUUCCGGUUUUUGGGCUCCCGCCGCCUCCGCCGCUCGGAGGAACGGCCACGGAGCGCGCCCUGCAGGAGGCGGCGGCCACGGGCACGCUCAGCUUAACGGGAAGGAGACUGCGCUGCUUCCCGGAGGCCGCGGCCCAACGCUGGGACCUGAGCGACACCACGGCGGCCGACCUGUCCCGGAACCGUUUUGCUGCUCUCCCCCCGGCCGUGUUGGGCCUCCCCUGCCUGGAGCUGCUCAGCCUGUCCCACAACAGCCUGCGUUCCGUGCCGGCCCACAUCGCCAACCUCAGCAACCUCACCUACCUCAACAUCAGGUGGGGAGGCUAAAAUCUGGGGGGCUCCUAGAGUGGGGGGGAGGACAUGAAGUGUGGGUACGUGGGGGUGCCUCAAAGUCGGGGGAGGGGGUCUCAAAGUGAGGUUGUCAGGGCGAGUGAAGUGAUGGGGGGAUCCCAGCAUGGGACGAGGGGGAAAUGUAUGGUUAGGAAGGGUUACUGAAGUGGGAUGGUCUCAAAAUGGGGGCAUCAGAAAGUGGGG